CAGCAGUGAGGAAGGUGGGGUAUGGUUAAUAGCAUACUCAUUUGACGUUAGCUGCAGAAGAAAGCACCGGCUAACUCCGUGCCAGCAGCCGCGGUAAUACGGAGGGUGCGAGCGUUAAUCGGAAUUACUGGGCGUAAAGCGCAUGCAGGUGGUUUGUUAAGUCAGAUGUGAAAGCCCGGGGCUCAACCUCGGAAUUGCAUUUGAAACUGGCAAACUAGAGUACUGUAGAGGGGGGUAGGAAUUUCAGGUGUAGCGGUGAAAUGCGUAGAGAUCUGAAGGAAUACCGGUGGCGAAGGCGGCCCCCUGGACAGAUACUGACACUCAGAUGCGAAAGCGUGGGGAGCAAACAGGAUUAGAUACCCUGGUAG
Molecule: ribosomal RNA, 368 nt
Filed under: uncultured bacterium
Lineage: Bacteria
Description: bacterial SSU rRNA
Rfam family: Bacterial small subunit ribosomal RNA
Source: RNAcentral